AUGAAAUGGGGGUCUUUCCUUCGCCUAUUGUGUGUAUCGGCUUGGCUUCUUCCAGAACCAAGGAGGCAUUCUGGAGGGCGCGUGCGUGUAGGAAGGCCGACCACUACGCUAAAAGACUACGAUGACUACAACGAAAGCGAGUCGCUUCUAUUCUCGUUGGGAUUUUUUAUCUCUGGGGAAUCUAUAGAUCAUAGUAGUUCUCCAACCUCUCUAACUAACAUACAAUACAAUUUAACUUCACGGCACGGAAAAAAAGAAAGAGCUUCGCUCGGUGGGCCUUCCUGCGCUGACGAAUGCCUCCUUUAUCUUCUCUGA
Molecule: long non-coding RNA, 315 nt
Filed under: Vicia faba (fava bean)
Lineage: Eukaryota; Viridiplantae; Streptophyta; Magnoliopsida; Fabales; Fabaceae
Source: RNAcentral